AUACUUACCCAAAAUACCAUGAUCACGAAGGUGGUUUUCACAGGGUAAGGCUUAUCUGUUGUACUCCAGAGGUGCUGACCCUUGCGAUUUCCCCGAAUGCGGGAAACUCGACUUCAUAAUUGGGGGUGGUGGGGGACUGCAUUUGCAUUCUCCCC
Molecule: small nuclear RNA, 155 nt
Organism: Mustela putorius furo (domestic ferret)
Lineage: Eukaryota; Metazoa; Chordata; Mammalia; Carnivora; Mustelidae
Gene: U1
Rfam family: U1 spliceosomal RNA
About the family: U1 is a small nuclear RNA (snRNA) component of the spliceosome (involved in pre-mRNA splicing). Its 5' end forms complementary base pairs with the 5' splice junction, thus defining the 5' donor site of an intron. There are significant differences in sequence and secondary structure between metazoan and yeast U1 snRNAs, the latter being much longer (568 nucleotides as compared to 164 nucleotides in human).
Source: Ensembl